CGGGCGGUAGGUGAGAUCUCUGGGAUGGGCUACUACCUCCACCACCGUCGGCUCCACAUGUGUGGGGGAUGCCUAUCUUCUGCGAAGGAGAUGACAAAGGAUGCAGAGGAGACAUGCUCCGUGGUGUGUUCUUGCUGCAAAGCUCUCAUACAGAUUUCUUUUUCAUGCGAGUUGAGAACACACAUACUAGGAGGGAAGAAGGUAUUUCACCGGCCAGUCCUUCCACAUUCGAGCCAUCCAUCCACCCAGUUAUGUAUCUAUCAGGCACCAGGACAAUGGACUUGACAAUGACACUAGCUCGGAUGGCGCCACUAAAGUGAUGAUGCUAAUGUACAGGAGGAGGGAUGUAAAAUUGCAGACAUUAGAACUUGGUCUCGCCAAAGCUCAUUUAGUGAUAAGGGAGACAAUCCAGACAAAUAAUGUGCUGGUUGGACCAGUGUAUUGGAAUGCCUAUGCAUUUCAGAGGUACGCAAAUCCUUUUGCAUAUAAAUACUUUGCCAUUAGGGUGUGAAAUUGCUAAACUGCCAUCUCUGUAGUUUUCGAGUAGUUAAAAUUCGAGCAUAUAAUCUUCUAUUAAUCAAGGUAUCCAUAUAUCUGACAAAUAAACCAUAGGGGCAGAUUCAAUCUGAUGACAUGCUCCUGUGUGAGACAGAAAAUUGGGCUUGGGGAGUUGUAGUUCAGUUACAUCAUGGGACAAAAAAAUAGUUGAGAGUAAAAGGAAAGAAAAAAUAGAAAGGGAGACGAUAAAAAAUGCAUGGUAGAGAAAAAAGUCCUCAUGCCAUCAUGUGAGCUUCAGCUCACCGCGUUGUAGCCGAAGCGGUUUCCUUUUAGUUCAGGUUCAAGCAGUUGCUGCCCUGCAGUCAUAUGCAUUGUCUUUUUAGAUACACCAUUCAUAUAGGGAAAGCUGGCAUUGCUACAUGGAAUAGUAAUGUGCAGAUUUAAUAGGCCAUGGGGAUUAUAACUAAUAGUUAGCUUUUGAGUUUAAAGAAGUAACAAAAGUUAAUAUGUUGACGGAAUAGGCCAUGUCAACUAGUCCCUCCUCCAAAAUAAGUGUCGUGGUUGGAGUAGUAACUAAUGUUGAUAAAGCGCCAUGAUGCUAUGAUAUUUAACAAUCAUUUGAAGUAAAUAUGCCAUGUUGAUAAGUAACUAUUGACAAAGCGCCACGAUGCUAUGACAUAUAACAAUAAUCUGCUCACUAAAUAUGCCAUGGUGAAUUGAUUAGUAAAAACAUUGAGCAAAUCUGUCCUAUUAUAAGCUAUUUAGAAUUGCAAUUCAUAUGUUCCUUUUAUAUGGUUUCUCGUCCAGAUUACAUGUGCAGGUUAAGUAAGCUGAGUAAUUUGGAUUCUAACUUACCUCGUCUAGCAACUGAAAAUUCUGCAAAUCAAAAGGAAGAGCUAAAGAAAACACAACGGAAAUUUUAGUUUCUGUACCAGUUUACUUAGCUCCUUCCAUGAUGAGUCCCCGUGUGAUUGCGGUGCUGUUGUAACAUUCCCAAAGAAUGCCAGGUCGCCCUGUAUAAAGUAGAUGGACAUGUACUUUCACUUGUUUGUGGAUUCCUUGAUUCUACUGGAUUUUAUUCUUGGUGCUUUGUUGCCAGUGGAUUUUGAACAAGAAGAUCUCUUUUAUGUCUUUUUAUAACUUAAUUAGGCCGAAUGUUUCUUGUACAAAGUAAUUGUUAGUACUACUUGUUAAUUGUUAUAUACAGGUAAAUAGUUGCUGGAGCCUGAGGUUCUUUAUUGAAUGAUUAUAAAUAUAAGAGAAUGAUGAAUUUGUUUUUGCA
This is an RNA transcript of Triticum aestivum (bread wheat), 1780 nucleotides long. RefSeq lists it as uncharacterized. The record is from RefSeq and is a predicted model, not a curated record. The transcript is spliced from 2 exons. Lineage: Eukaryota; Viridiplantae; Streptophyta; Magnoliopsida; Poales; Poaceae.